UGUGCCCAAUGAUAUCCUAGAAGCUCUGAGGUUGUUGGCUUAAAAGUCUCUGUACGAUCUCCUCCACAUGUGCAUCACUCUAAGUCUAGGAUGUCGAGGCCUGUGAUGAUGUCGAAGAGUAUCGAGCUGCUGGAGGGUCGAAGCUGUGGCCGACUCAUAUGACUCGGCUCUUACUCACUCCUCUGAUGAUCCUGAGCCAUCCCUCAAGGUCAAGGAGGGACUGAGUGGAUGGAUCAUCAUCGUGUCGCGUAAUGAUGUACUCCAC
RNAcentral lists this long non-coding RNA (265 nucleotides) under Elaeis guineensis (African oil palm). RNAcentral's name for it is "long non-coding RNA (EGUI_LNC006629)". Lineage: Eukaryota; Viridiplantae; Streptophyta; Magnoliopsida; Arecales; Arecaceae. The record is from RNAcentral.